RNAcentral lists this ribosomal RNA (815 nucleotides) under uncultured Alphaproteobacteria bacterium. RNAcentral's name for it is "bacterial SSU rRNA". It matches the Rfam family "Bacterial small subunit ribosomal RNA", at positions 8 to 872 of the family's 1533-position model. The record is from RNAcentral. Lineage: Bacteria; Pseudomonadati; Pseudomonadota; Alphaproteobacteria.
AGAGUUGAUCAUGGCUCAGAACGUACGCUGGCGGCACGCCUAACACAUGCAAGUCGAACGAAGUAGCAAUACUUAGUGGCAGACGGGUGAGUAACAUGUAGGUAUCUACCCUAUGGCCUGGAAUAACACGAGGAAACUUGUGCUAAUACCGGAUAAGUCUUUACGGAGAAAGCUUUAUGCACCAUUGGAUGAGCCUGCACUUGAUUAGUUUGUUGGUGGGGUAAUGGCCUACCAAGACUGUGAUCAAUAGCUGAUUUGAGAGGAUGAUCAGCCACAUUGGGACUGAGACACGGCCCAAACUCCUACGGGAGGCAGCAGUGGGGAAUCUUGCACAAUGGAGGAAACUCUGAUGCAGCGAUGCCGCGUGAGUGAAGAAGGCCUUUGGGUUGUAAAGCUCUUUCGUCGGGGAAGAAAAUGACUGUACCCGAAUAAGAAGGUCCGGCUAACUUCGUGCCAGCAGCCGCGGUAAUACGAAGGGACCUAGCGUAGUUCGGAAUUACUGGGCUUAAAGAGUUCGUAGGUGGUUGAAAAAGUUGGUGGUGAAAUCCCAGAGCUUAACUCUGGAACUGCCAUCAAAACUUUUCAGCUAGAGUAUGAUAGAGGAAAGCAGAAUUUCUAGUGUAGAGGUGAAAUUCGUAGAUAUUAGAAAGAAUACCAAUUGCGAAGGCAGCUUUCUGGAUCAUUACUGACACUGAGGAACGAAAGCAUGGGUAGCGAAGAGGAUUAGAUACCCUCGUAGUCCAUGCCGUAAACGAUGUGUGUUAGACGUUGGAAAUUUAUUUUCAGUGUCGCAGCGAAAGCGAUAAACACACCGC